Non-coding RNA from Podarcis lilfordi (Lilford's wall lizard), 16940 nucleotides. Lineage: Eukaryota; Metazoa; Chordata; Lepidosauria; Squamata; Lacertidae. The record is from the annotation of a GenBank genome assembly.
GAAGGAGAUGGGCUGCAUUUAAAGUCUUCAAGGAACUAUGCUGGGAAGAACAUGUAGCUUGUGAGCUAGGUACAUCUCUGCUUCAGUCCAAAUGCAUAGUUUACCUUUGGAAAAUUGUGACUAGAUUCCCCUAUUCAUUUAUUUUACUUUGGUCAUUCAGAAUGUUUCUACCCAGAAAAUGUAAGCAAAAAUAUGAGGGCACAUAAGCACUCUAAUAAUAUGUGUCUCCAAGGGAAAUGACUAAAACACUUGAAGUUUUACUAUUUAGUUUUGUUGUAUUUUACUUUCAUGUGUAUUUGUCUACAUAAAAAUAAAUAAAAAUGAAUUUUUUAAAAAAGCACUCAGAAUACUGUAGGACUUAGGUAAUGAUGUAAUUUGGCACUAAACCAACAAAGACCUGUGAAAAUUGUGCAGUUGUGGUUCUCCAUAACAAAAUAUUAGUGGGAAUGCAGUAUCCAAAUAUUACAUUGCAGAGAGGGUUUGGAUAUCCAGCACUGAGUAACAGCUGUUUUAUCUAUUGCACAUUAAACUGGCUAUCUUGCACUGGAACUGGCCACUGAAAGUCAGGCCAGGUAUUUCAAACAUAAAACUGUUCCACCUCUAGUUGCUAUUCUCUGCUCAUCUUCCUUUUUACUUACAUACAGCUUGUUAUAUUUCCUUCCAUUUUUUGCACUUCAGAAUCUCCCUACUGCACUUUUGUCAAACCAAACAGUGCCCAAAUUCUUUUAAAACUAGAUUCGUAGAGCACUGUGUUCCUCAAUUUAUUCAAAGUCUUACUGUGGGCUAUUUGAGGGGCUUAGCUUGUUACUAAUAACUGAAAUAUGAAGUGUCAAAGCAAUACAGUAGUUUUAAUUCUCUGGGACUAGGGGCUAAAACCUGGGCCUUCUGCUUCUUGAUUCUGAGCUCCUGUUCUGAUCUGUGAAGUCUUUGUGUUUUGGUUUGCUUCUUUGCAUGGGAGGAACAAAGAUACAAGCUGCAUUGGCAAACUUGAUCACCAAACCCAAGUUUUAUCUCAUGCAACUUGGUUAAUUACACGUUAAAAUUUGGUGGUGGGGUCUUUGUCUUUCAAAUAUCUACGCAGCUUCAUUUGUAUAAAGAGAUUAUUUUCUUAAUCCUUUUGGACUUUUGCUUAGUGGGCAAGGUGUGGCUAAUUUAGCAGCUCUCUUAAGCUUUGGGUGCCCUCUGCUGGUAAAUCUUGGGGGCGGGCAGCAAGUGUGGAGAAGAAGAGCUCCAGGUUAGAGUCCAUGUGUUACUGCUUUACCUGAUCAUUUUUGUGAACGCAUACACAUGACCAACACUUGUGGCUACCCAUACCCUCAAUCAACAUGAACAUUGGCACUUUGCCUGGGGGGCAUGUUCCUACAUGUUCUGUAGCCAUGCAUUGCAAACCAAUGUGUAAAUCGCAGAACAGCUCAGAUCUUUGGCCUGUGGCAGGCGUGGUUAAGCUGUGACCCUCCAGAUAUUGCUGGACUACAAUUCCAGGCAGAUCUGCACCAUACAUUUAAAGUGCAUUCAACACCCAUCCAAAGGAUAUGGCUUCUCCCAAAAAACCUUGGGAACUGCAAUUUGUUAAGGAUGCUGAGACAUGAAGCUUGGGGACUACAGUUCCCAAAAUUCAUCGGGGAAAGUCAUGUGAGAACCUCAGGAACUGUACUUUGUUAAGGGUGCCAGGAAGUGUAGCUCUGGAAGAGGGAGACUACAGUUCUGAUUUGGGGGGGGAUGUUAUGUGUUCUAAAUGCAGUAUAUGUCCCUUGGCCAUUCUGGCUGGGGCUGUUAGGAGCUGGAGCACAACAACUGCUGGCAGGCUGCAGAUAAGAACCCCACGUGACUCCCACCCACCCACCCAACCACACCAGGCCAUGUGCAUUUUAGAAUACAUUUUAUGUUUUGCACAUUUUAAAAUACAAUUGCAGCCGUGCCAUUAAAACUAACAAGGAGGUAGCCCUAAGCUUCCUGAAGAAUUAACAGGAUUUAUGGUUGGACGCUGCCUAGCUAUCCUUCCCAUCCUGAAAGGAGCAAGAGCUCAGCUGCUUAUGACACUUCCACCUGAGUCCACGGGCUGGCUUACACAUGCACACUCAUCAUCUGAAGAGUUUCAUAUCAUCUGUCAGCCCAGCAAAGUAGCUGGCUUUAUUUAUUGCAAAUGCUUCUAGCCUUCCCUCCUAGCACUUGCACACCAUACAAGGCAGCUAACAACAAUUAAAACACAACCAUAAAACACAACGCUAUCUCAUGUGCAGCAGAUAAAAUGAAGGUAUCAGUCAAAACAAAGGUUUGUCUAUCAGCAGAGUGGUCAUUUGGCCUGCUGCUGACUGUGGGUGCUAUAGAAUUAUUAUGGAGAGUUGGGCAAAGAAGCGCAUUUUGCUUUCGGCACAGUUCUGUUAUUUGGUUGAGAUAAGCCACUUAGUAGCAAAGGCAUUUUGACAUUUGCAGUUGUCUUGUAAUGUCAUGCUGAUAGUGACACUUUGAGACUGCUGACAGCAUUUGUUUUGUAACACCUGUGCGUAUCUGUCAGUAUUAAUAAGAGCAGCUGCAUUCCGUGUGUGUGUGAGAGAGAGAGGGGAGGGCCUGCAAUAUAUAUUGAGUGGAGUGUCUUCUUUUGUAGUUCCUCCCUCUUGAGUAGAAACACAGUGUAGCAUUGCCAUUUUUACUGUAAGUGGAUAAACCUGCCACCAUUGAAAUUAACGGUACUCACUACCACUUGAGUUUCAGUUUUGUGUACAGCAAAAUUUAUGUAGAACUCAGGAUUGGAGUGGCAAUAUGCAGCAGAAGCACUAAAUGUAAAAAUACAUCCCUAUCAAUUGGCUUAUGGAAAUGUCAGCUUAUAUAUGAUUUGAAGGUCAAGCUGAUGGGACAGGUUUUGAAAGCAGUACGACAUAACAAAAUGUAAGAGGAGCCCUGCUGAAGCGGAGCAAAAGGCCCAUCAUCCUGUGCUCAAAGUGGUGAACCAGACACCUAUGAAAAUCCCACAAACAGGACACAAGUGCAAGAGCACUCUCCCCAUUUAGGCUCCCCAGAAACCGGUAUUUAGAGACAUGCUACCUCCCUUACUGAAGGUAGCACCAGGCCAUUAUGGCUAGUAACCACUAAUAUCCUCCAUGAAUUUGUCCCAGUCGAUCGUCAGUACUGGAUCUUCAGGUUAAUGUAUUCCAUUGUUUAAACAUGUGCUGUGUGAAAAAGUGCCUCAACCACAAAUAUCUACAAAACCUGGAAAGAGUGUGUUAAGCAUGGAGAACCAUGGGCAUCAAUACUUCCUUAAUGUGGGUCCAAUGUUGUACUCAAGGAUUUCUCCACCCGAGCCCAUCCAAUAAAACCAAAUGCAACAUAUUAUAUCCCAGCUUGAUGAGUGAGAUCAUACAAAGAAGCACUGUAAGUUGCACCUUGUGUUACAGAGACCUGAAUGGCCUCAGUUAGAAGUUGAACACUUAGUCCCUUGCAGCGGAACACUCUUCUGGCAAAGUCAGCAGGCACCCCUGCUUUUUACUUUCAGGUGUCUCUUGAAGACCUUUUUGUGCUGACAUGCCUAUGCAGUUGUUUAAAACUUUCUUGAUUAGCCAGUCAUUUUAAUGAUCUUUUCAUGCUGUUUUAAUUGUCUUUUUAUGUUUUAUUUUAUACAUUUCAUGGCCCCUUAUCUCUAUUAGAGACCUCAUGACCUAUUUGGAGGGUGAGAAAAGUCUGCCCUCCCUUCUGAAAAACACACCAGCCCUUUUCUUCCUAGUAUGGGAGAUCCAUACUCACUCCCAGAUUCCCUUUGCUUGAUCAUGGAAAUAGAAUAUUUGCUGCCCAGGAGCAAAACAGCAUCAGGAAAAUAGAUUUAUUUUCAAGGGUAGUUCUAUCAAACGUAAAGUAUUGACCAAGGUCAGGGUUUUUUGUCUUGUUUUCUGUUUUUGUCUUCCCAUGUAUAUUUGCAAAAAGACUCAACUCAGUGAAAAACAUCUGAUGAGAUUAAAGUUCAGUUGUUUUUCAGUCACCAGUCCAAUGCCUGCAUUACUCAACCUUAACUUCAACAAUAAUGUUAUGGCGCUGGCCCCUAUUUCCUUUGUUAGGCAGAUUACUGGUUAAUGGCCCAAGAUCGCUGAGAAAUAUCCAACCUAACCCACUGAAUUGAUUAGGAGAUAACUGCAGAUCUCUCUCAGAGCCUUUUGCAGGAGUCAGCCAUCAAGGUUGGAGGAGGUGGAAUGGGGGAGAAAGGACAGGGGAAAAGAGCGUAGUGAAUAAAUUGAAUUUUGGCAGAGGGAAAGAGAGUGUGUGCUGUGAGCAGUCCAUCAGCAUUAAUACUUUGACUUUCUCUCUGGGUAUCUCACUUGACAUUGUUGGUAUAUAGCCUUAUAAGGGUGACAUAGGCUUACAUGGCCACCUGCACUUAAGACCAAGGAUGGAGAUCCUAAUGCCCUUCAGAUAUUGUUGGCCUACAACUCCCAUAAUCCCAUGCUGGCUGUGGCCAAUGGAAGAUGGAGUCCCACAACACCUGGAGGGCCACAGGUUUCCCAUCCCUGAUUUCAGACUACAAUAAACUGGGAUGGGUAGCAAAUGCCGCAGAAGCAUGAAUCGGGAAUCAAUAUGACCAUGACAGAUUGUAGAAUAGGCCCAAACUUACAAAAUGAAUCUCAGUAGGAACAAAUGUUAGGUUCUACAUUUAGGCAGGAAGAACCAGCUGAACAAACAGAAGAUGGUGGGACACCUGGCUUGCCGGUAGCACAUGUGAAAAGGAUCUCAGGGUCUUAGUAGACUACAAGCUGAACAGGAGUCCACAGUAUGAUGCAGCAGCAAAAAAAUGUGAAUACUACUAAUUGCAUCAACAAAAGUAUAAUGUCCUGAUCAAGGAAAAUAAUAGCCCCGCUCUGUACUGCUUUGGUGUAACCACACCUGGAGUACUGUGUCCAGUUCUGGGCACCACAAUUUAAGAAGGAUAUUGAAAAGCCAAAAAGUGUGCAGCGGAGGGAGAUCAAGAUGAAAACCAAGCCUUAUGAGGAAUGGUUGAUGGAGCUGGGAAUGUUUAGCCUGAAUAAGAGAAGACUGAGAGGAGAGAUGAUAGCCAUCUUCAAAUAUCUAAAGGGUUGUAACAUGGAAGAUGGAGCAAGCUCGUUUUUUCCUGCUCUGGAGAGUAGGACCCAAACCAAUGGAUUUAAAUUACAAGAAAGGAGAUUCUCACUAAACAUCAGAAAUAACUUUCUGUCAGUAAGAGCUGUUUGACAGCAGAACAGAAGUCAAACGGACUCAUUCCUUGAUUGUUUUUAAGCAGUGGUUGGAUGGCCACCUGUCAUGGAUGCUUUAACUGAGAUGGCUGCAUUGCAGGGAGUUGGACAAGAUGACCCUGAGGGUUCCUUCCAACUCCACAGUUCUAUGUGUCUAUGAUUCUCUGUUUGUCCAUCUGUAAAAUAAAAUGAAUGCUAUAACAACAUCAGAAGUCUCCAUUACUUUCAUUUCAAGGAAAGCAGACUUGAGUUGGGCUUCUCCUGGAACUUCUUGUAGCUUGAGAAAGUGAGGUACAUAUAACAAUACUUUUUCACUUCAGCUUGAAAAAGAAACACAACUUCCCUCACUAGAAAAGAAUAUCAUGCAUCAGUCUUGUUGUUGUUGUUGUUUAGUCAUUUAGUCGUGUCUGACUCUUUGUGACCCCAUGGACCAGAGGACGCCAGGCACUCCUGUCUUCCACUUGCAGGCUUGUAGGAUCCCAUAAAAUACCGUAUUUUUUGCUCUAUAAGACUCACUUUUCCCCUCCUAAAAAGUAAGGGGAAAUGUGUGUGCGUCUUAUGGAGCGAAUGCAGGCUGCAUGGCUAUCCCAGAAGCCAGAACAGCAAGAGGGAUUGCUGCUUUCACUGUGCAGCGAUCCCUCUUGCUGUUCUGGCUUCUGAGAUUCAGAAUAUAUUUUUUUCUUGUUUUCCUCCUCCAAAAACUAGGUGCGUCUUAUGGUCUGGUGCGUCUUAUAGAGCGAAAAAUACGGUAAGCCCGUCCCUAAGAAUGAUAGAGAGAAAGCUGCAACCCUAUAAUUGGAUGCAGAAAUUCCAUGAAUAAGAAGUUACAGAAUCAAAAUGGCUUGCAACUGGGUACAAUUGUGCAAGAAUGUAUAAUGAAAGGAUGAGCAAGUCAUGAAACUAAUUGUGUCUUUAGUUGAUUUAUUAAGGCUGUCCUGCAAAUUUGCUGAGACUGCAAUUCUGGGAGAAAUGCAUCAUCCCCUUGGUCUGGAAACACUUAUUUCUAAUAAAGCAUGGGCGGUAUAUGUGAUCUGUGGUGGAGGAAAGUGUACAUAAAUGUCCUGCUUUCCCUUGCCUUUGAAUUUGGUUCUGACAUCAUGGCUAAUUGGCCAGGUGUCAAUCAUUUACUUGAGCAGCUUAAGGCUGUUUUUGUACAAAUAAUGCUUUCUUUAAAAGUUGCAACAGCACCCCUGUAGGCAAAUAACUCUUACAAAAAUUUAAACAUUCUUUAAAAUUUUUUUUAAAAGAACAGAAACAAAUGAACAAAUAAGCAUAGAGACUUGGUUCUUUCCAAGUUCUGUUCCAAAACAAGUGAGCUAAAGAGGUUCAAACACUGGCAUACUCUAGCUAGCUAAAUCCUGUUUAGGGAAGAGCCAUAGCUCAGGGGUAUGGCAUCUGCUUUGCAUGCAGAAAGUCCCAUGGUCAAUUCCUGGCAUCUCCAGGUAAGGCUGGGCAAAGACUUCUGUUUGACACCCCAGAGAGCUGCUGCCAGCCAGUGUAGAUAAUAUUGAGCAAGAUGGAGCAAUGGUAUAAGGCAGCUUCCUACAUUCCUCUUUUGAGGUUCCAAGGUACACAAAAUGGGUGUUCAAAUGAGGUCCCUUCACAGGUGCAAGAGAUGAUUGGGGUUAGUGGGAACAUUCCUAGUGACCAUGCCCUUGCAAGUCAGCUGUGCUUUCUCUUCCUGGCGGCCAAGCAUUUGGCAGAGGGGCUCUACACAUGUGCAGCCCCACCAACUGACUGGGGAAUGCUGACUGGCCAGGAAAUCAGAUGGUGGGUGUGUUGACACAUGCGGAGCAUGGCUGGCAGGCACACGUUCCCUUGCACCUGCUAUGAGAGGAUGUAGGGAGUGGGUGGCAGGCCAAGAGUUACUAUUCCAAUUUUAUUUCUACCAGAACGUGGACAGGCUAAAGCAGUCUUGAGGCUGGAGCAAGAGCAUUGGCAGUGAUUUCUCACACCCACCCCUUCCUAAGGAUGCAGGGCACCCACAAAACGUGUGUGCAUUUGUGUUUACGAAUAAGAAUAUACAGUAAUUGUGAAGUGGGGACUGUACAUUGGCAGGGGUAGUUCCAGUUAAAUUCUGACGGUGCUAAUGGGAAUGCACAUUAGCAGCUAUUUAGGGCCAAGAUAUACAGUAGCAGGGAAAGGUGAUACUGCUUGAUCAACUGGCUAGCUUAUAGCAUGGAUUUGCAAUAGGCUUAGAAGAAAUGAACACAUCUACUGCUGUCGGGUUGUUGGAGGAAGCCUCUCCACCAGUCACAACUGCACAGAACUAUGGCCAGGAUAUGUUGUAUACUUUAGGCAGGGAGAGAAUUAAAAUCCCAGUUGUGUGAGAUCUGGAAAACAGAGGAAGUAUUCUGUAACCAGGCAUCUUUCUUUCUGUCAAGAAGCAUAGAAAACGGGCCAUAACUUUGCUAGUUUGGCCCCAGUUUCUUGUUACCAAACUGGCUGCUUGUGUAGAAGCCCAAACUCCUGUGGCAUCUAAAGCAUCUCUGAAGUGGAUGGUGAUUCUUUUGGAAGCUCAGACAGAAAGCAGAGCCAGCCAGGCUUAUGAUGAUCUGCCUGUGGCAAUGCAGGCAAGAGCAUUUGGAGAUUUGGGAUGUGGGUCAGUGACGCAAAUGAAAUAAAAUUUAAAAUGUAGCAUAUUGCAUAUGCAAAGUGUCAGCAAUCAUUGAAAAUGACGCUCAGCUACCUUGCCACUCCUGGUCCUAUGCCAGUGUAAUAUCCCACUGAAUCAUAGAAUUGUAGAGAUGCAAGGGGUCAUCUAGUUCAGCCCCCUGCAAUGUUGGAAUCUUUUGCCCAACGUGGGGCUCAAAUCCACAACCCCGAGAUUAAGAGUUAUUUCUUGCUGUACCGACUGAGCUAUGUUAGAUCCUCUUAUUUUCUUUCUCCUCUCCUACUUCUAUGAUCCAACCCCAUCUUCUCCUUUUCAGCACAGCUCAUUGCUAAGCAUUUCCUGUGAAAAUGACUCCCCAACCCAAGGCCUCUUCUUUGCUGGUUCUUAGGGGCUACUUUCCCCCCUAAAGUCUCUAAAAAGGUCAUAAUGACAUAAAUCCAGUUUAAUUAAACAUGUGCUGGGUAUUAUAUUGAAUGUCUUCACCAUCUGUUAUGCUGGCAAUGCUGAACACUGAAUCAAAACAAGAAUCUCUUUCAAAAUGUGUUUUGCAGUUAAUAAUAAUUUGGCCUUAGUUAUUUCAUUAGCAUGCCAAACAAAGCAAUGUUCAAAGUGUUGUUUGUGCCUUGUAUUUGCACAUACUAGGUACAAAAUACUUUCUGUACCACAAGAAUUUGAAAACAUUGUCCAAUGCAAACCACACCAUGUGUGUCCCUUUCCAGAAGUUUGCCAGUUUUGUUUUGGUUUUCUGGCAAGGCAUCUGUGCCUUUAACAGCUGUGGGACAAACAACAGCUUGAAACUUCUUUAACAGGCAGUAGGCCAGAUUGCCAGGCACAUCUUUUCCUGGGAAAAAUGACAGGUAAAUAGCAUACAAUCGCUUGGAAAUAGCUAGGGGCACCUCUGGAAAGUGAGGGCCAUUUCAACAAAACAUGCCUUUCUGUCCCGUCCCGUCCCCCCACAUUCCAGCUAAAGAUGAUGUCAAGUUAGAUCUGUGUCUGUGAGAACACCACCCUUGCUAUACAAAAGUAAUGCAGUUUUUGACUGGGACGGAGAAAGUCAGAGAGCUUUGAGCAUUGGAAAACCCAUUUUGGGGCCCGCCUCUUUGGAGAUCUGAUGAGGGCCAGUGGAUUUGUUGUGGGAGUGUUGUUUUUUAAAAAAAGAUAUCUGCCUCCAUCUAUGCUCAACCCGAAUAUUUGUAAAUAAACUCAAAUAAUACCCUCAUGCUCAACAUCAGCACCCAGAAUGGUUAGGCAAACAUUUGGAUGGCAGCAUGCUUUUAGCUGGGUGAACCUGCAGCUGCUUCCAUCUUCAUUUCCCCAGAAUGCAUCUGGGAAAAUGAAGAUGGCGACUGUCAGGGUUGUUUCACCCAGUGCAUCUUGUCUUAGCAGUGCCGGUCUAUGGGGGGGGACAUGUGGUGAUGCUUAGCAUGGACCUGAGCAAAGAAGCGCUGGACAAAGAAGCUGCAACUGCUACUGCUAUUUCCCUUGUUGCGUAGGGCACCUUCAAACCUGGUGCAGGCCCUGAAGACAGAAAAUCCCUGGCCUUUUCCAAGUGAAACCAAAUCCAGGUAAGGACAAUGCCCCUAGAACUUUUCAGUUUGGGAAAGUGAGUGCACAUGACAAGGUGGCCCCCUGUUGGUGACUGAAGGCAAAGCUCCAGAUUCACAUCAUAUACCGGUAGUAGCUGCAAAUAUUAGUAGAAUGAAUAAGAAUAGCUUCACAUUUGUGUUCCGAAGCCUUCUCUCUGGCUUAUUUAUUUAUUAUAUUUAUAUACCACUCUUCAUCACAAGAUCUCAGGGCGCUUCAGGGACUGCUUUCCACUAUGCAAAAGUUUGCCAUUAUGCAAAAGUUUGCCGUCUGCCAUUUUUUCUUAUGUAUUGUUCCUUGCAUGUUAUCUCUGCAGUUUUCCAUCUUUCAAUCAGACAAAAGAAAAAAAGAAGGAUUUAAGCUCAUUGGUCCUUUUAGUGAAAAACAUGGUGGUACGAGUAAUGCGUAUUCUGAAACAGCUUCUUUGCUUACUGCUUAUUCACGCCAGUGCAGUCAAAUAAAUAGACCAGACCUGCAGCUAAAAAUAGUUCCCAUAUCAGAUAUCUAUAGUACGGAGCUUCCUAUGAAAAUUGAGGUGUGGUUGUCAUGAAUACUGGUUAAGGACUGAAAGAUAGUGGCAAGGGAUCUACAGAUUUGUACGAGCGAUUGAAGAACACAACCAUCUGCACCAUUCAAAUAGGUUACCAUUCAGACACACCAUUUUGCUUUAAAAAUGAAUCCGUUGUAAAUUUAAAGAGCUGGACAAGUAUUUCACAGCAGAAAUCUCUGACUCUCAUUUUAAUAUUUUUAUAAUAACUUCUGGCUCUCACUAAUUUAAAGUAGUUGUUCUAACUGAAAAUUACUCUUCUAUAUUGCACGUCAUUUUGAAUGUUCCUCCUCAAUACAUGGUGGAUAAGUUAAAAGAAAAAUAAAACAACCUUAGUUUUGCCUGCAUUUCACUUUUCUUCUUCCUUCCAUCUGAUCUGGCCAUAGAGAGUCAAAUAGCAGAUUAUGGUGUGUGUGUGUGUGUGUGUGUGUGUGUGUGUGGUUUCAGGUUUUUGCAAAUCAAAGUACCCCCCCCCCCCAAUGGAAGGACUGCCAUUAAUAUACUGAAGAACAGUCAUGCAUACCUCCUAGUGUUUCUGACAAUGGUUCUGUGCCUCUUAUUAUUAUGAAAUGCUUUUAAAAUGACACACACUCCAUCAUCUUGUAUACAGGAAGGAGCAGGCCUUUCAGUUCUGCUGUGAAUUUCCAUCCUUACCCUUCCCUCAAAAUCUGAAAUGGUACUCCUGAUAGAUUGUUUGCUCCAGCACUCAAGACCAUUUGAAAAUUAUUUCUGUCCUCUUCCUUUUAGAGUGAAGUAUCUGUCUCUUCUCUGAUCCUAUUUUAAGCCUAGAGAUUUUCAUUCAGUGUGCCACUUACAGUACCUCAUUCACCUAUGCUCUAGUCUAAGAGUGACUAUUCCAUUCAUACAGUGGCUGCUUUCUUCUUUAUAAAGAAAUACUGCUUUGUUUUCUCAUAGAUGAGAUAAGGAACCAAGAAGCCUGCUUACAUGUCAAGGGACAAUUGCCGCUGUAUUAAGUAUACGGGACUUCUGCACAUGGAGGACCAGAGAAAGCAACUGAACAGUUUCUUUUAGUAACAUGAGAAUCAAGUGAAACCCUCUCACAGUACGUUUUGGCUCCUCUCCAGUGGAGGCUUGGCUUUGGGCAGAUGCUAUUCUGAGUAAAGCAUCUCAAAUGUUCUGUUAAUCUAUUCGGGCUGAAUGAAUGGCUUUCUAUUUGAUUUUAUUCUCUUUAAAAAUGCUAACCAAAAAAUGACUAUUGUACGUGAAUUCAGAAAGCACAAAAGCAGAGAACGCCAGCUUUUACCCUUGUGUUUGUUUUCUCCAAGAGUGGGAUAUGUUAGCAAUUUUAGCUAACAGCUGUCACAGACAAGUUUGUUCUUGACAGAUUGCAACAGGAGGGGGAGCUUUUGACUGCAGCAGCCAAGGAAGAAGAGCCUGUUAGGAAAACUGCCUCCAAACACUUGCUGUGCUGUGUGCUCUGCUAAUGUUACCUUUUCAGUUGCUCAAGGCCAAUCUAGACAUGACGGGCAGGGCAGAGAUGUGCAUUUUAUGCAUGUGCCUUCCCCAUUCACAUACACAGCAUUCUGGGUGGGUGCAGAGUCUAUUAUUGCCCUUUUCACAAAAAGGAGGAUUGGGAAGAGAAACCCUGUAACUGUGGGUGGGGGAAGGGUUAGCACCAAGGAUGUGUCUGAAGCCAAUUCCCACUUUGGUUCCCAGAUGAAGGGAAGUAACUGGUAGCCCCACUGCUUGCCUCCAUUCAGCUUCCCUUCAGUGGGACAGUGGAAAUUUUUUGGAGAACAGGAGUUCACCAUGUCAGCCCCUGUAGUCACGCCCCAAUGUAGCCAUGCCACAAAUCCAUGCAGGUCUGUCUGUCUGUUCUCUUUCUCUCUGUGGCAGUAAUACAUUGCAUAAUACACAAUUUAUUAGUACCAGCAUGAUUGCAAUCCUGCGUAUAGUUUCCUGGGGCAGCAAACUCCAUUGAAUUCUGACUGCAAUGGAUCAGUUUGUGAAACACAAUGAGCUUUUACACAAGACCUCUGGCUAGCUAAAAACGCAACCUUUAGCUUUUAAUUAGACACGCAAACAACCUCAGACAGAUGUGUUGACAUUUAAACUGUUAGUGAAAAGUAGGAACCUCGCCAAAGAAAAAGAAAGUAGUAUGCUGGAUUAUUUUCCUCACUCUUAGAUUCCCUUGAUGAUAAUUUGCCACAAGCUUAAAAGUCUCAUUGUCACCACAUUUACUUGCCAUAGGAGAUUCAUUCAGUCACCUUGCCACUCUGAUAAUUUUGGUCUUGCUCCAGCUCUGAAAAAGCUCCUGAACGUCACUCCGCUACAUCCCUGUUCACACAUCUCCUGUGUUCCUAUUUGCUGGAAGAAUGGCAGCGAUGUUCAUAAACAACCAACGAUCUCUGCCAAUUUGGAGAGGGUUGGGAGCAGGCCGAUGUUGCAACCCAACUAUUUAUCGCAGCCUGUGGGAGCUUGUGACCAAGGACUUGUAAACAGGAGUGUUUGCAAGGGUGUUUUGUGGGAAAGGGCUGGAGCGCUGCCUCAUAGUGUAUGUAGGACCAAGAGACAUGGACGGCAAGGGAGCUGCCGCCGUGACCUGCAACACCUGUGCCAUGUUUGUAUUCCUGUCUCAGAAUAUGAAAAACUACACAUGCAGCAAGUGCAAGCUGGUUGCCUUGCUGGAAGAGAAAGUACAGCAACGUGAUGCCCACCUAUCCACUUUCGAGAUACCAGGCAAGAUGAGAAAUUUCUCGAUACAGCAGAGUGGAUUGUCCUGAGACAGUGAUGCAGGUUGGGGAGGAAGAAGAUCACCCACUGCAGGAGUCAAACCCCUGGAAGAACAUGACAAACAGGGGCAGGGCCCUAACUGAGAGGUGGUGCAAGGGCUGUAAUAGGAAAAAGCUAACCUGUACCAUUCUGUUGUCAGGGAACAGGAGCAAGAUUCCUCUUAAUUGAGUGAUGAAGGUGAGGACUCCAACCCUGACAGGUAUGCAGGGCACCGCAUACCCAAUGAACCUACAGAGUAGCACCCCCAACCUGAGGGUGUGGCACUGCCAUCCUCACAUUUGGAGGGCUCUCCUGCAGAAGGCCUGAGCCUCCCCCACUCCACAGCUGUAUAUAAGGCCUAGGCCCCUUUAGGCAAAGAAGCAUCUUGUAACCGUAAGUGGUACUAUUUGUUUAAUUCAUUAGAUUUCUAUACCGUCCUUUCUCAUAAAGUUGCACCUGGUGCUACUGCUACAAAAGCACUCAGUUUCUGUUUAUUCCUUGCUGGAUCAACUUCCAUGUUCCCCAGAGCAAAGCUUCACAUCUAGCCUUGAACCUCUCCUUGCCCUAUACCCUGGUUGAGCCUGGCCCUAUACCCUGGUUGAGCCAGAGGAUAUCCAUGGGAGAAGGGGUGGCAUAAGAAUGCCAGUUUUGCUGUGGCUGGGUAGAGAAUCUUUCCCUCACCACUGAAUACCCAGGACUACCUCCCCUCUCGAUUUAGGAGUUCCAAAUCAGGAAAUGGUAGAUGAGUAACUCCCAGCAUCUCUUAUAUAGGACAGUGACAGGCAGAGCAGCUGAGAAGUUAGGCCAAGUGAAAUUAGAAACCUUUGUAAAAAGGGUUCUGGUUAAGUAAGGUUAUUCCCAUAGAACACACUGAGCCAAGUGUGUCAAAGCAAGUUGCUGCCAGCACACGGCUUCUUCUAGCAUUACUGGGUAACUGUCACUUGGUUGAACCUUCUGAGAAAUUUUAAUAUGAAAUCAAGAGGGACAGGCAAUGGCUGGCACUUUCUAAUAACAUGGGUGAAACAUUAAGUUCUUGCAGUCUUUGCAGCAAUGCACUGACCUGAGCACAUCUGCACCAUGCAUUGAAAGCACUCUUAUACCACUUCAACAGUUAUGGCUGAUCCCCGUCCCACAGUACCAUGAGAACUGCAGUUUUUUAAAGGGUGCUGGCAACUGUAGCUCUGUAAGGGAUAAACUGCAGUUCCCAUAAUUUGCUGGGGAAAGCCAUGGCUGCUAAAGUGGCAUAAAUGUGCUUUAAAUGCAUGGUGUGCAUGUGAUCUUGGGUCUUAAAUUAACUUAAUGCAAGCAAAGUUUAUCAUCUCUUCCACUUCCUACAUACUCUGUGAGAUGAGGUAUGGGAGGAUGCUGCCGGGGGGGGGGGCAGAAUCACCCCAAACUGGAUUGAUUGACAAUUCUCUCCCUCUUCCAGCAGCCCCCUGAUCCCCAUCCCAUAUUUUUUAGCCCUUCACCCUCCAGAGAUUUGGGAGGUGCAGAGGGAGUAUGAAGGUGAUUGCAGUGGGAGGAGAGGAUGGGAAAUCAUAGAACUGUAGAGUUGGAAGGGAUCCUGAGUGCCAUCUAGUCCAACCCCCUGCAAUGCAGGAAUCACAACUAAAGCAUCAAUGACAGAUGGCCAUCCAACCUCUGCUUAAAAUGUUAUUUCUGUGAACUUUCUUAUCUUAGGAUCCAAGCCAAUAAUGCUAGAAAUUGAUUAACUAAGAUUUAUGUUAGAAUAAAUGGUGCCUGAAAUCAUUAAUCAUGUGUAUAAAGUUAAUUGUUGUAGAACCUGAAGGACUUUAUCCCUAGGUGAGGAGGGUAGAACAUGUCCUCCUAUGAUCUGCCUGACUCAAUCCCUGCUCUCUUUUAGAUGAGCAAGAUCUUACCAUGCUUAAUAUUGUUCUUACUAUGUUUCCAUGCUACGUAUGCCUUGGUUCUUAGAAUUUUUAAAAAAGAUUUUUUUCAUUUUGAAUUUAAAUCUGUGAGCUCAUGCACUAGUUUAGCUUAGUGCAGAGAAUAUCACACAAGCAGAGAUAUUAACUAUGGUUGUAUAUUUGGCUCCCUUGGACUGCAAUCCUACCCUGUACUCACUCACCUUGAAGUAAGCCCCAUCAAAUUCAGUAGACAUGUGCAGGGCUGCACUGUUAACUACAGUAUAUAACUUGAAAGAGUGGAAGGUCUUUCUCAAUGGCAGCUGGUGUGAUGAAAUCUGCUUACGCAGAUGAAAGUUUUAUUUUCACAUGCCCAAGGGAUUGAACAGGUAUUCUGGUGACUUUAAGGAACUAUUGUGAAAAGAACCAGAUAUCCACCAGAAUGUUGGAGUUUCAGAGCUGAGAAGCUCCUAUCUCUUGCGCUUAAUUGCCUCACAGCCCUGAUGAAGGCACACCAAACAGGGCCUUGGGGGGAUAUUUUAUUGUGAUUUGCAAGCAACUGUGGAUUUGAUCAGUGUUGGGGUGGAUUUGCAUUUCUUUCUUGCACUUGAGGGGAGGAAAAGGGUCAAAUUAAAAGAUAAUAAAGGUUUGCAGUAUUAUGUUCUAUCUUGGCAUGUUCAUAGAAUACUCCUACUUUUAAACAUAGUAAAAAAAAAAAAAAAGUUAAGCCACUGUAGGAUACCAAAACUAUAAUGAGGAGCCAUGGACUAUGAAUUUGACAAGUAGUGUCAUCAUAGGCCAAUGAGAACUGGGCACAUCAUGUAGCAGAAGAAACUAUUGCAGGUGUUGUUUGUUAAGGAAAGGUGGAUUUUGAUCAUGCUACAUAUGUUAUUUGGCUUUACCAGCUGGAUAGCAUUGGUCACCAGUUGAAUUAAGUACUUAUAACACAGUGUUCUAUAUUCAGUUGCAUAUCUUCAGUUGCAUAGACUUCGUGUGUCUAUUGCAGUGUACGGACAAUCUGGGACUUAGGUCCACCACACUGCCACUGACAGCCAUCCAACUCCAAUGCAGCAGUGAAGCUAGAACUAACCAAAGAGUAGGCCAUCAUAUCAAUAUUGCCUAAAGAACAUGUAUGUUAAAUGUAUGACCCUUAGCAGUUGUAAUUUCCCAGCAUGCUGGAGCUUCAGCAAACAUCUCAUCUCUCCCUCCCACUGUCCUUUCAUGUUCCUCACACACAGCUGUUUGCCAACACACCCUCUCUGUCACUCACUCUCACACCACUAAACUUCCCUUUCAACUCUCCUUCCACUUAACCUUCUCUCAGAACAGGUUCAUAUUGAACAUGUGUGAUGAACACCCUUCUGAAAUCCCAUUGACUAACACUGGCCACAUAAAUGCCUUUAAAAAGAAAAACAAACCAAAACUGCAAUCAUGUUAUACAAUUCAUGAGUAAAGGCACAUGCUUGUUGUGUUUGACCCAACACGGCAAAUCAUUUCCCAAAAGAUGCUGAACAAAUGGAGAAAUCUUUUCCUAAAAAUCAUCCUAGUAAAACCCAUGGAAGGAAAAUGCACGCCAUCUUUCAGCUUGUCAAACAUUUAAUUCAUUUAAAAGAAGGCCUUUAUUAUUUCUACCCUAGAGCUGGCAUGGACCAUCCUCAAAUCGACAUCUCUUACACAGCCAAGUUUCAGAUCAGUCUGUUGAACUAUUUUCUGACUAAAAGCUGUAGAAUCACCUCCUCUCAUUUUCUCUUUAUAAUGAUGGAAUGUGAUUCAGUUGACUCAUCCCUAAUUAAUAUGGGGCUGCAACAGUGGCCCUAUAAUAACUGCUAAUCCUUUCCCCUGAAUGUUGUAUAGGGUCCCUGAAGUAUAAAAUGAAGCCCAUCCUUCCAUUCCCCAUACCCCAGGAAUGUGCUUUUGCUAUUAUUUCUACAAGUGAGUCAAAAACCAGCAAAGUCUGGGAAAUUUAGUCACUAGAGGACUGUAGGUCACAGCCUCUCUGUACAUCCAGCAUCUGAUAAGUGGAAAGGGAAAAUAUAUAUACUUCUUCCUUGUUAAACAGGUGACUCAACCUAGAAGCAAAUUGACUCUUUUUCACAAUUACCAUGAUUUAUAGCAGUGCAAAAUUAUAGGUUAGGUUUAUUCUGAAGGGUGGAUUGUUUCAAAACCAUUCACAAUGAUGACACUAAUCCAUCUUUACCUGCUCAACAAUAAAUGGUCACAUGAGACAAUGUUAUAUGAAGACUCGUGUUCAGCUGCACAAUGUGCUUUCAAGGAAACAUGAACUCCUGCUGGGAAAUUAAUGAGUCUCCACUCAAUAGCACCCUUUGAUUCUGGCUGUGUGUUAGUAAAACCUCAUUUCCUUGUUUUGUAAAAUCUUUGUAAUAAAUCCAGCUGUGAUUUUG